UACCUUGUGGGGUUCAUCCUUGAGAUUCAUUGGGGUUCAUUUGUGACGGAUGUCACUCGCUUAGGGUUCAUUUGUGACGAUUAUGGUGAUUAUCAUUUGGGGUUCAUCUUUGGGGUUCAUCUUUGAAUAUUUGAUUGCUUUGUUGUGGUUCGCACGGAUAACCUUUUUCUUUGGUGUUCGCUGGUUAACAUGUGCUAUUGUUUGGAGUCGGAUAUAAGUCCAUGUAUUGGCAUUCUGUUUCCUUGUUUGAUUUUGUGUGGAGUCGGAUAUAAGUCCAUG
Molecule: long non-coding RNA, 279 nt
Filed under: Lathyrus oleraceus (garden pea)
Lineage: Eukaryota; Viridiplantae; Streptophyta; Magnoliopsida; Fabales; Fabaceae
Description: Pisum sativum (pea) long non-coding RNA (PSAT_LNC039040)
Source: RNAcentral